UCAGGAUGAACGCUGGCGGCAGGCUUAAUACAUGCAAGUCGAACGGUAAGGCCCGAAGUAGCAAUACCGAGGGUACACGAGUGGCGCACGGGUGCGUAACGCGUAUGCAACCUGCCCCAACCGGGACAAAACAGCUGGAAACGGCUGCUAAUAUCCCAUGGCCAUCCGGGAGGGCAUCCUCCUGGAUGUAAAGAUUCAUUGGUUGGGGAUGGGCAUGCGUAUUAUUAGGUAGUUGGCGGGUAACGGCCCACCAAGCCGACGAUGAUUAGGGGUCCUGAGAGGGUUAACCCCCACACUGGAACUGAGACACGGUCCAGACUCCUACGGGAGGCAGCAGUAGGGAAUAUUGGGCAAUGGAGGCAACUCUGACCCAGCCAUGCCGCGUGAAGGAAGACGGCCCUAUGGGUUGUAAACUUCUUUUGCCGCAGAGUAACCCCGUCCACGUGUGGGCGGCUGAGAGUAUGCGGCGAAUAAGUAUCGGCUAACUCCGUGCC
This 494-nucleotide ribosomal RNA is filed under the name uncultured bacterium. RNAcentral's name for it is "bacterial SSU rRNA". It matches the Rfam family "Bacterial small subunit ribosomal RNA", at positions 24 to 509 of the family's 1533-position model. The record is from RNAcentral.